This 422-nucleotide ribosomal RNA is filed under the name uncultured bacterium. RNAcentral's name for it is "bacterial SSU rRNA". It matches the Rfam family "Bacterial small subunit ribosomal RNA", at positions 355 to 774 of the family's 1533-position model. The record is from RNAcentral.
UGAGGAAUAUUGGACAAUGGGCGCAAGCCUGAUCCAGCCAUGCCGCGUGCAGGAAGAAGCAUCUAUGUUGUGUAAACUGCUCUUGUACGGGAAGAAACACUCCUACGUGUAGGUGCUUGACGGUACCGUAAGAAUAAGGAUCGGCUAACUCCGUGCCAGCAGCCGCGGUAAUACGGAGGAUCCAAGCGUUAUCCGGAAUCAUUGGGUUUAAAGGGUCCGUAGGCGGUUUAAUAAGUCAGUGGUGAAAGCCCAUCGCUCAACGAUGGAACGGCCAUUGAUACUGUUAGACUUGAAUUACAAGGAAGUAACUAGAAUAUGUAGUGUAGCGGUGAAAUGCUUAGAUAUAAGAGGGAAUACCAAGUGCAAAGGAAGGUUCCUACUUGUGGAUAAACGCUCAUACACGAAAACGUGGGGAGCAAACA